This 699-nucleotide ribosomal RNA is filed under the name uncultured archaeon. RNAcentral describes it as "bacterial SSU rRNA". It matches the Rfam family "Archaeal small subunit ribosomal RNA", at positions 102 to 800 of the family's 1478-position model. The record is from RNAcentral.
GGAUAACCUACCCUUAGGACCGGGAUAACCCUGGGAAACUGGGGAUAAUACUGGAUAGGCAAUUUUUCCUGUAAUGGUUUUUUGUUUAAAUGUUUUUUCGCCUAAGGAUGGGUCUGCGGCCGAUUAGGUAGUUGGUUAGGUAAUGGCUUACCAAGCCGUUGAUCGGUACGGGUUGUGAGAGCAAGAGCCCGGAGAUGGAACCUGAGACAAGGUUCCAGGCCCUACGGGGUGCAGCAGGCGCGAAACCUCCGCAAUGUGAGAAAUCGCGACGGGGGGAUCCCAAGUGCCAUUCUUAACGGGAUGGCUUUUCAUUAGUGUAAAGAGCUUUUGGAAUAAGGGCUGGGCAAGACCGGUGCCAGCCGCCGCGGUAACACCGGCAGCUCUAGUGGUAGCAGUUUUUAUUGGGCCUAAAGCGUCCGUAGCCGGUUUAAUAAGUCUCUGGUGAAAUCCUGUAGCUUAACUGUGGGAAUUGCUGGAGAUACUAUUAGACUUGAGACCGGGAGAGGUUAGAGGUACUCCCAGGGUAGAGGUGAAAUUCUGUAAUCCUGGGAGGACCGCCUGUUGCGAAGGCGUCUAACUGGAACGGUUCUGACGGUGAGGGACGAAAGUUAGGGGCGCGAACCGGAUUAGAUACCCGGGUAGUCCUAACUGUAAACGAUGCGGACUUGGUGUUGGGGGUGGCUUUGAGCUGCUCCAGUG